GGGGUGGGGCUCUGCGAGUGGGCGGGGCUUCGUGACGCAAGCCUCUGAUUGGCUGCAGGCCGGUGGAGGCGGAGCCAGAGCUGGAGGCGGCUGUUGCCAUGGGAGCGGAACCGGAAGUGCUGGAUGCGGGAGGAAGCGCUGAUGGCGCUGCUGGAGCCACGCCCACUUCCGGAGACGCGGCAGCUGAUGGCCGCCUCCAACAAGCGCUGGCUGCAGGCGGCCCAGGUGAGGCGUUGACACUCUGUGACGUCACUUCCUGUCCCGGGUGAUGUCACUUCCUGUCACCCAGGUCGCUUCCUGUUCUGUUUGUGACAUCAUUUCCUGUUUGCUUAGGACGCCACUUCCUGCCACACUUUCCUGCUCUUUCAGGUCACUUCUUGUUGCCAUGUGACAUCAUUUCCUGUUUGAUUUGUGAUGUCAUAUCUAGUCCUACUUGUGAUGUCACUUCCUGUCGCAUUGUGAUGUCACAUCUUGUCCACCUUCUGCAGGCACUUCCUGCCACCCUUGUGGCACUUCCUGCUUUUCUCCUUGUGACAUCGCUUCCUAUCCCAUUUCUGACUCCGCUUCCUGUCCUC
RNAcentral lists this long non-coding RNA (575 nucleotides) under Numida meleagris (helmeted guineafowl). RNAcentral describes it as "lncRNA (ENSNMEG00000003851.1)". The record is from RNAcentral. Lineage: Eukaryota; Metazoa; Chordata; Aves; Galliformes; Numididae.